This 301-nucleotide ribosomal RNA is filed under the name uncultured bacterium. RNAcentral's name for it is "partial 16S ribosomal RNA". It matches the Rfam family "Bacterial small subunit ribosomal RNA", at positions 509 to 807 of the family's 1533-position model. The record is from RNAcentral.
CAGUCGCCGCGGUAACACGAAGGGUGCUAGCGUUACUCGGAAUUACUGGGCGUAAAGGGCGCGUAGGCGGCACGAUUAGUCAGGCGUGAAAUUCCUGGGCUCAACCUGGGGACUGCGCUUGAUACGGUCGAGCUAGAGGAUGGAAGAGGGUUGUGGAAUUCCCAGUGUAGAGGUGAAAUUCGUAGAUAUUGGGAAGAACACCGGUGGCGAAGGCGGCAACCUGGUCCAUUACUGACGCUGAGGCGCGACAGCGUGGGGAGCAAACAGGAUUAGAUACCCCUGUAGUCCCUGUCUCUUAUAC